Molecule: transfer RNA, 72 nt
Filed under: Bos taurus (domestic cattle)
Lineage: Eukaryota; Metazoa; Chordata; Mammalia; Artiodactyla; Bovidae
Also listed under: 4 other names
Rfam family: tRNA
About the family: Transfer RNA (tRNA) molecules are approximately 80 nucleotides in length. Their secondary structure includes four short double-helical elements and three loops (D, anti-codon, and T loops).
Source: Rfam by way of RNAcentral
UCCCUCAUAGCUCAGUCGGUAAAGAAUCUGCCUGCAGUGCAGGAGACCCAGGUUCAAUCCCUGGGUCGGGAA